RNAcentral lists this transfer RNA (72 nucleotides) under Fukomys damarensis (Damara mole-rat). It matches the Rfam family "tRNA". From Rfam's summary of the family: Transfer RNA (tRNA) molecules are approximately 80 nucleotides in length. Their secondary structure includes four short double-helical elements and three loops (D, anti-codon, and T loops). Further hydrogen bonds mediate the characteristic L-shaped molecular structure. tRNAs have two regions of fundamental functional importance: the anti-codon, which is responsible for specific mRNA codon recognition, and the 3' end, to which the tRNAs corresponding amino acid is attached (by aminoacyl-tRNA synthetases). tRNAs cope with the degeneracy of the genetic code in two manners: having more than one tRNA (with a specific anti-codon) for a particular amino acid; and 'wobble' base-pairing, i.e. permitting non-standard base-pairing at the 3rd anti-codon position. Lineage: Eukaryota; Metazoa; Chordata; Mammalia; Rodentia; Bathyergidae. The record is from Rfam by way of RNAcentral.
GGGAAUGUAGCUCAGGGAAAGAGUAUUUGCCUAGCAUGCCAGAGGCUCUGGGUCUGAUGCCCAGCAACCCCC